RNAcentral lists this ribosomal RNA (395 nucleotides) under uncultured Flavobacteriaceae bacterium. RNAcentral's name for it is "bacterial SSU rRNA". It matches the Rfam family "Bacterial small subunit ribosomal RNA", at positions 103 to 496 of the family's 1533-position model. The record is from RNAcentral. Lineage: Bacteria; Pseudomonadati; Bacteroidota; Flavobacteriia; Flavobacteriales; Flavobacteriaceae.
CGGGUGCGUAACGCGUAUGCAACCUACCUUUUACUAGAGUAUAGCCCAGAGAAAUUUGGAUUAAUCCUCUAUAACAUCUUUAAGUUUCAUAACUUUUAGAUUAAAGUUUUAACGGUAAAAGAUGGGCAUGCGUCCUAUUAGUUUGUAGGUGAGGUAACGGCUCACCUAGACUACGAUAGGUAGGGGCCCUGAGAGGGGGAUCCCCCACACUGGUACUGAGACACGGACCAGACUCCUACGGGAGGCAGCAGUAAGGAAUAUUGGACAAUGGACGAAAGUCUGAUCCAGCCAUGCCGCGUGCAGGAUGAAAGCCCUAUGGGUUGUAAACUGCUUUUAUACAGGAAGAAACACUCCGACGUGUCGGAGCUUGACGGUACUGUAAGAAUAAGGAUCGG